Molecule: small nucleolar RNA, 138 nt
Filed under: Ornithorhynchus anatinus (platypus)
Lineage: Eukaryota; Metazoa; Chordata; Mammalia; Monotremata; Ornithorhynchidae
Source: RNAcentral
AUCCUUUCAGGAUCAUACCUGGAGAGUUUCCAGUAAUCUACCAGUCUCUACUACAGGAGGGAGAGUCAAGCAGAGGCAUAUCCAUUCCAUUCCUAGCUCGGCCAAUGGCUAGAGAGUGGAAGGCAAUCUGCUACAAGU